GAAGUUGGGGUAUGGAAGAUUCUUCGGAGAUGUUGUUCCAGUAAAUUCUAGUCUGACUUACUGGCUUGUUAAAUUAUAAAUUCUGUUAAGGCAUAUUUUCCUCCACUUUCAACUCCAGCGAGUGUUCCCUAUAUAAAAUGCUCAGAUUACACACAAGUGAGCACUAAAGUGGAGACGGCGGGAAGAGGGUAGAUAAGGGUUAGGCGUCCCAUCCAGAAAAUUCCUAGAGCCAUGAACCUUAGGGGCGCACAAUUAGCGGGCUUCCCGGGAAGGUUAUACAUCAUGUGCAGGACUUUACAUUAAAAUGACUUUUUACUUGAGUCAUUUGUUAGUCCAUUACCAGUUCUCAUAUCAGAUUGCAUUUCAUCUUGUAUUAAAUCAAGGUAAUCUGGCACAGAAAAAUAGGCUCCUUCAUUUCACUUCCAACUCUGGGCAAGACUGGAGAUUCCAUGGCAUUUUGCCUCACCCUCCUCCACGAGGCAUGCAGAAGCCCAGCCUUUGGCCGAAGGCACUCAAUGCUGACUGAAUCCCAGAUUCUCCCACAAAGACGAGCCAUGCGCAAAACAAGACCGAACCCUGGGUUAAAAUACUGAUUUUUCUCUUUAGGGUUCCACUCAUUCUCUUCCAACUCCAGUCCUAAAAGGAUCUGAAAUUGAGUGACUCCCUUUGCUCAUCCUGCAAUCAUGACAGACCCCCAGAGCAGAAGAGAGGGAGACCCAGAACUCAUUACAAAGGAGCAAAGGAAACAUGCAUGAAAAAGCCAUGUCCUUAUACUUUGAGGCCAAUGGGAUCUUCCUUAUAUGAUGACUAGGUCCAUUUCCAAGCAGCGUAUCCUUUUAUGGGGGCGCAGGGGAGGGCUGGUUAAUUACCAAGACUUCACUGGUAGGAAAAUUGAGCUUCCACAUAAUUCACUCUAUUUAUUGCACAAAGGUCCUGUUAGGUUCUUUUGUGCCACCCGGGACAGGAACGGCUGCAGUGUCGGAGUGAAAUCCUGCCCUCCACAGGCCAGGACCACAUGUGUCACAUCAAUUAUGUACCUAAUGCUCUUCCCUGGGCCCCCCUGUGUUUCCAAACGCUUAAUGCACCUAUGAGUAAAUGAUUUCUUUCCACUACUUCUUAAAGUGCCAGAAGGCAAGAGAAAUUUAAACAGACCUAAGAUCAACAUUGUGAGUUUACUUGGCCUCCCCAUCUAGCAACACUGCCAUAAAUUUCUUCGGCUUCUUAGUUGGGAAUUUAAAAGGCCUAUAGUCUUGGCAAGGUUUAUAUAACAAUGUUUCUUCUAUAUGGAUUAUAAACUCGCAAGAUCCCAAGCAAUGGUGGGGUAUCAUAUUUGGUCAGUGGGUCAACCUGAGAAGCCCACAGAAAAACUCAAUACCAUGUUCAGCAAAACACUGUUUUCCGGAUUUCUCCUGGUGGGUAGAAACAGCUCCAUCGCUGACAGGGUGAGGAGCUGGAUCUGUGGCCUUUUUUUCGUCCUUUGGGGCUUUGUGAUGGAAGAGGCCUGACUUCUGUGGCCCUUGCAGAGCCAGGGGCCUUAAGCAAUGCGCCAGCUGGCAGAGCCCUGGAAGAAUGUUCCAGAGGGACAGUAUAAGCUCCAGCUUUGUGAAGCUCCCUCAAACAGCCAUUCCUCAGAGUGCAGGAAUGUGCAGAGAGCAGGAGUCGGUAGUGGUUGGUGCUGAGGGUGGCGCUGGGAGGCCUGGGGUUCAUCAACCAGGGGAGCAUGCUUGAUCCUAGCAGAGGAGCCUUUGUGAUAAGGGGGUUCCUCUUCUUCUCUGCCUGACUAUGUUUUCCUCCUCAGUAUGACCUGCUGUGGAGUUAUAGGUGCCUCUUUGCCCAGGUGCGUGGUAGUUGGCAUGGAACGUGCUUGCAGAGGACCAGUGGGUGGAUCUGGUGAAUGACUUGGCUCCAAGGGGCGUGCAGGUGUCCUCCCUAAAGCCAAAGAGCAUUUCCUUGAUGACAGCUGGUCUCCUCCAAAUGCAGUUCUUCCCUCCAAACAAGUUUCAUGUUUUCUGCCUCUUAUGGGAUCACUCACUAGAACCCUGUCUUAGCAUUGAACAUGACUCCUUAGAUGCCAAGAGCUGUGUUAGGAGCCGAAGGCCAAGAGUGGUGUAAAAACUGGCUAGUAAUUGAUGAGUUCCAGUAACCAUGUAUCAGAGUGGUGUCUGCAUACAUGGACCAUCUUUAUCUUUCCCUGCUGCCAGGGGAAGUACAAAACUGUGGGACUUUACUCUGACUUUGGAGGGACAUUUCAGUUUCAGUCUUAAUUAGGAAAUCUGUGAAGAUUGUUCUCAUAUGUCUAAUUCACCAUCCAAAGUGGGCUGAAAAAGGCAUUUGCAACCAGCGAGACUGACCAGCAAGAAGAGGAGGGAAGGCUAAGAAUUUCUGAGGUUGGAGAGCAGAAGGAGGCUACCUUUGCACUUUCCCGAGACUUAUUAGAAGGAAACUAAAAUAAAAAGGUAUGGAAAUGAUGCAGAAAACCAUUUGGAAGUCGUUGGUGUAUAGCAUUUAACCAGAAUGAGGCAUACCAGGAAAGAAAUGACAGACAUUGAAAUACUGCAUGAUCACACAGGUGUUUCUGGUUUGUUCUCUCAUAAUUCAAGUCCCAGACAAUAUUCAAUUAAGUCAAAAAGCUCCCCUUGAAAAUUGAUUCAAGGAUAUACUCUUUAUGUCUAUGCAUCAUCAACCUAUGAAACUCAUCACCUGAAGGUCUUAUUUAGGUCCAAGUGAAGUAGAAAAAAUUGAGUUGGAAGCACAGUUUAGAUCAGUAAUUUCUCAACUUAAAAAAAACAAACAAACAAUACAGCUGUUUAAAAAAAUGAAAUCUUAAAUAAAAUCCCACUAGAUAAACAGAUAACAGUGGGAAUAUUUUUUUGGGGGGGCGACCAACUGGCCUUCCCCUUUGCCCUUUGAAACCCCCUUGGCUCCACAGAAAAGAGUGUGAAAAUUUGUGUUUUAGGUAAUUAUUUUAAAAAUCUAAUCAGUGUGGAAGCACUGGACCAGGUAUUCUCAAUAAACCUGUUCCCAAGGAGCCAAAGUUGGUGAAGCUUAUAGCCCCUGCAUGUCUGAAUAUGAAGCUUCUGAGUUUAGUUUUGCCAUGAAUGAUGCCCUUAGGGACAGAAUUAGUGCUGCUGGCUGCCAUCAUUUUCCACUAUCCUCCCUUGAGGAUGAAAAGCAUGGGUUAUCCAUUCUCUUGAGUCUUUCCUGUGCUGGGAAUACCUGUUAUGGUCACUCUGUAAUUCUGGAAUUUGCUGGUGUUUGGAAGUAAGCCAUCUGAAAGACAUCGGAAAGACAUAUCACAGUGUUGCCUCUUGAAAAUUUCAAUAGAGAGUUCCCGUUGUGGCUCAGCAGUAAUGAACCUGACUAUUAUCCAUGAGGACAAGGGUUUAAUCCCUGACCUCG
RNAcentral lists this long non-coding RNA (3399 nucleotides) under Sus scrofa (pig). RNAcentral describes it as "lncRNA (ENSSSCG00000057868.1)". The record is from RNAcentral. Lineage: Eukaryota; Metazoa; Chordata; Mammalia; Artiodactyla; Suidae.